RNAcentral lists this non-coding RNA (218 nucleotides) under Salimicrobium jeotgali. RNAcentral's name for it is "T-box sequence". It matches the Rfam family "T-box leader". Rfam says of the family: Uncharged tRNA acts as the effector for transcription antitermination of genes in the T-box leader family. T-boxes are found upstream of many aminoacyl-tRNA synthetase genes and some amino acid biosynthetic genes usually in Gram-positive bacteria. The record is from RNAcentral. Lineage: Bacteria; Bacillati; Bacillota; Bacilli; Caryophanales; Bacillaceae.
GUUAAAGCUAUGAACGGUUGCAGUAGGUUCUGCGCACUUCUACACAGAGAGUCGAUGGCUGGUGAGAAUCGACAGAGGUUCAGAACUGAAUUACGUCCGGGAGCAUCUUCUGGUGUGAAUCAGAGGACGGUUGCAUGUAUUUGCAGCCGUUAUAUAAAUGAAGUGGCACAUAAGUGCAACCAGGGUGGUACCGCGACCGUUAAGACCUCGUCCCUUUC